GUGCUGACCUCUUGGAUGAGAGCCCUGACCUCAUAGGAUAUCUGAGCUUGUCAUAAUUCAGGUGGGUUCUGUAGGGAAGCAGGGGCUCGUGGGGAGUGGGAGGAAGCUGGGGAGAAGAUGAGUUGAGAGCAGUCCAGUGUGAGGGAAAGUGGGGAUCCUGGGCCAACUUACCAUUAAGAGGGUCCAGUCCUGUGACUGCUGUGAAGUAACCAGGAUUCCACAUAGAGAUGGGGCUCAAAGUCAGCCCAGGAGCAGCACUGUGGUCCCAGGUGAUCCUGAUGCUCAUGGCCAUGCAUUGAGAACAACUGUGUAAG
RNAcentral lists this long non-coding RNA (314 nucleotides) under Homo sapiens (human). Its description in RNAcentral is "non-protein coding lnc-HNRNPA2B1-2:6". Lineage: Eukaryota; Metazoa; Chordata; Mammalia; Primates; Hominidae. The record is from RNAcentral.